This 60-nucleotide microRNA precursor is filed under the name Blattella germanica (German cockroach). The record is from RNAcentral. Lineage: Eukaryota; Metazoa; Arthropoda; Insecta; Blattodea; Blattellidae.
GACGGAUGUUGCUCUGGUGCACGUUAUAUGAAUAGUCGUGACUAGAGUGACACUCGUCGA